GAUUUUUUAGUAUAAGUAAGUACUUUUGAUUUCCAAUCAAAGAGUUUAAAAAUUA
This 55-nucleotide transfer RNA is filed under the name Allodiplogaster sp. MY-2022. RNAcentral describes it as "tRNA-Gly". Lineage: Eukaryota; Metazoa; Nematoda; Chromadorea; Rhabditida; Diplogasteridae. The record is from RNAcentral.